This 274-nucleotide ribosomal RNA is filed under the name uncultured bacterium. RNAcentral's name for it is "partial 16S ribosomal RNA". It matches the Rfam family "Bacterial small subunit ribosomal RNA", at positions 523 to 796 of the family's 1533-position model. The record is from RNAcentral.
AUACGGAGGGUGCAAGCGUUACUCGGAAUCACUGGGCGUAAAGCGCGCGCAGGCGGCUAUUUAAGUUGGAUGUGAAAGCCUACGGCUCAACCGUAGAACUGCAUCCAAAACUAUUUAGCUAGAGUGUGGGAGAGGAAGAUGGAAUUAGUUGUGUAGGGGUAAAAUCCGUAGAGAUAACUAGGAAUACCAAAAGCGAAGGCAAUCUUCUGGAACUCUACUGACGCUGAGGCGCGAAAGCGUGGGGAGCAAACAGGAUUAGAUACCCUAGUAGUCC